UUUGAUUAUGGCUCAGGAUGAACGCUAGCUACAGGCUUAACACAUGCAAGUCGAGGGGAAACGACAUCGAAAGCUUGCUUUUGAUGGGCGUCGACCGGCGCACGGGUGAGUAACGCGUAUCCAACCUGCCCACCACUUGGGGAUAACCUUGCGAAAGUAGGACUAAUACCCAAUGAUAUCUCUAGAAGGCAUCUGAAGGAGAUUAAAGAUUUAUCGGUGAUGGAUGGGGAUGCGUCUGAUUAGCUUGUUGGCGGGGUAACGGCCCACCAAGGCGACGAUCAGUAGGGGUUCUGAGAGGAAGGUCCCCCACAUUGGAACUGAGACACGGUUCAAACUCCUACGGGAGGCAGCAGUGAGGAAUAUUGGUCAAUGGGCGAGAGCCUGAACCAGCCAAGUAGCGUGCAGGAUGACGGCCCUAUGGGUUGUAAACUGCUUUUAUAAGGGAAUAAAGUGAGAGUCGUGACUCUUUUUGCAUGUACCUUAUGAAUAAGGACCGGCUAAUUCCGUGCCAGCAGCCGCGGUAAUACGGAAGGUCCGGGCGUUAUCCGGAUUUAUUGGGUUUAAAGGGAGCGUAGGCCGGAGAUUAAGCGUGUUGUGAAAUGUAGAUGCUCAACAUCUGCACUGCAGCGCGAGCUGGUUUCCUUGAGUACGCACAAAGUGGGCGGAAUUCGUGGUGUAGCGGUGAAAUGCUUAGAUAUCACGAAGAACUCCGAUUGCGAAGGCAGCUCACUGGAGCGCAACUGACGCUGAAGCUCGAAAGUGCGGGUAUCGAACAGGAUUAGAUACCCUGGUAGUCCGCACGGUAAACGAUGGAUGCCCGCUGUUGGUCUGAAUAGGUCAGCGGCCAAGCGAAAGCAUUAAGCAUCCCACCUGGGGAGUACGCCGGCAACGGUGCAACUCAAAUGAAUUGACGGA
Molecule: ribosomal RNA, 915 nt
Filed under: uncultured Bacteroidota bacterium
Lineage: Bacteria; Pseudomonadati; Bacteroidota
Description: bacterial SSU rRNA
Rfam family: Bacterial small subunit ribosomal RNA
Source: RNAcentral